CGGCAACAGCUCAAAUUUGAAAUCUGGCCUCUCGGGGUCCGAGUUGUAAUUUGUAGAGGAUGUUUUGGGUACCGCCCCGGUCUAAAUUUCUUGGAACAGAAUGUCAAAGAGGGUGAGAAUCCCGUCU
RNAcentral lists this ribosomal RNA (127 nucleotides) under Capronia americana. RNAcentral's name for it is "Phialophora americana partial large subunit ribosomal RNA". It matches the Rfam family "Eukaryotic large subunit ribosomal RNA", at positions 99 to 226 of the family's 3401-position model. The record is from RNAcentral. Lineage: Eukaryota; Fungi; Ascomycota; Eurotiomycetes; Chaetothyriales; Herpotrichiellaceae.